UACGAAAGGAUCAAGUGUUAUUCCCUCUAACUGGGCGUAUAGGGCCUCUAGACGGCACUGCAAGCCACAGGUGAAAUCCUAGUCCGCCGACGUGAAAGGCCUGUGGGACUACAGUAGGGUUCUUCUAGAAUAGUCUAGGAGGGUCCUCUUGCUAGGAUUCUUGACUAGGUUGUCGCACUUCGUGUACGGGAGGGAUCAAAUCCGUGCGGAAAAAGCACACCGUCCACGGAGUUCCAAAGCUGGAGAGAGCGACAUCUAGAGGAUUGACGUUUUAAGGCAAAAGCGUGGGAAUCGAUAGGG
Molecule: ribosomal RNA, 300 nt
Filed under: uncultured prokaryote
Description: partial 16S ribosomal RNA
Source: RNAcentral